GACGAACGCUGGCGGCGUGCUUCAUACAUGCAAGUCGAACGAGAAGCUGACUUCGGUCAGUGGAAAGUGGCGGACGGGUGAGUAAUAUGUAGGAAAUCUGCCUUUAGGAGGGGGACAACAGAGGGAAACUUCUGCUAAUACCCCAUAUGAGCGUAGCUGAAAUGCUAUUCUUGAAAACUCCGGUGCCUAAAGAUGAGCCUGCAUCUGAUUAGCUAGUUGGUAGUGUAAUGGACUACCAAGGCGACGAUCAGUAGCUGGUUUGAGAGGAUGAUCAGCCACAAUGGGACUGAGACACGGCCCAUACUCCUACGGGAGGCAGCAGUAGGGAAUUUUGAGCAAUGGGCGAAAGCCUGACGCAGCAACGCCGCGUGAACGAUUAAGCCCUUCGGGGUGUAAAGUUCUGUCAGUGGGGACGAAACUUGACGGUACCCACAGAGGAAGCACCGGCUAACUCCGUG
Molecule: ribosomal RNA, 458 nt
Filed under: uncultured bacterium
Lineage: Bacteria
Description: partial 16S ribosomal RNA
Rfam family: Bacterial small subunit ribosomal RNA
Source: RNAcentral